Long non-coding RNA from Gasterosteus aculeatus aculeatus (three-spined stickleback), 1257 nucleotides. The record is from Ensembl. Lineage: Eukaryota; Metazoa; Chordata; Actinopteri; Perciformes; Gasterosteidae.
CCCAAGCGCGGCACAGCAAGGCAUGUAUGCAGCCCACGGCACCGCUGAUAAAUGAACGACAGCUACCGCGGCUUCUCUCGCUUGUGUCUUUUGAAACACCUUCAGUGUCCCCGUUUUGUGCACAAUUGUGGGAGUACAAAGACGUUUGCAGGGAAUGAGUGGGUAUGUCUGAAUGAAGCUGAUGGAUGUGUCUUGGACAGAAGAAUGUUUCUCCAGGAACUGACCCGGAUAAAGUCUUUAAUUUCCUUCGCUAGAUACAGCAUGGCGACGGCGGAGCUGCGAGGAGAUGAAAGUCCAACGGAGAGAAGAGAGAGAGUCCAGCAGAGAGAAAAUGACAGAGCGACGCAGAGGCCGUGGCUUUUCUCACAGACGAACAUUAAUAAUAUGACUGGGCCACAAUAGGAGCUCUGAGAUCAGAGAGAUCACCUCCAUUGUCCCGCCGUCUCCUACUGACAGCGACCGCUCUGGUGAGGGAAGAAUAAGAAGAAUAGAGGAGAAUAACCUGGCCGCUCACCAUGCCCUUCCCUUUACGAUACAUAAUGGCCUGUGGUCCUCUGCAGAGCCUUUAGAGAGUGUGUUAAGCGUGAUGUGGAGGUAAAGGUUUCAGCCGUGAGUUACUGUGAUCUAUGUCAGAGAAUGGUGCUUUAAUCUAUAUGCAUGUUUUAAUUUCUAUCGUCAAUUAUUGUGUAUUUAUGGAGUUCAGAGAAUAACAAGAUUGAUUUAAUUUAACUACGAUAAUGACCAGCUUGAAAUAAAAGGUUUUCACCUCUUUUUAAAAAUCCGACACCAAAAUGCAAUAAGCUACAGAAAUGUGUGGAGGGUCUUUAGUAUGUAUCCUCUAUGGGGGCUCUUGUUAAUGUGUUUAUUAACCUCUGACAGUAUAAGAGUUGUGCUGGGACUAAACAUGUUUUAAAUUGAACUGCUAAUGGUUUGGUUUUUAGAAAAUGGUAACUUUGUAACUCUGUAACUCUGAUGCUUUUUUUGUCUCGACGUGUUUGCCUGCAGCCCCUCCCUCGUGUUCCUCACCUGCUCCAGUCACCUGACCCCCACUCAACCAACCACAACUGUGUGAGGAAAUAUCAAUCACGUCUUUCUUAAGAUGUAUUGGAAAAAGUCUGUCUUUAAACAUGAUAAUAUGUAGCUGGUUCCUGCACGACAAUUCUUUGAGAGUUGAUUACCUUUUUUCAUUUAUCAUUUUUCAAGAAUAUAGAUGUGAUAAAUGUAGCGCUAUAAAAAGAAUAAUAUUUCCUUCAUAAA